This is a long non-coding RNA of Triticum aestivum (bread wheat), 1393 nucleotides long. RefSeq lists it as uncharacterized. NCBI's taxonomy places the organism in Eukaryota, Viridiplantae, Streptophyta, Magnoliopsida, Poales, Poaceae. The transcript has 2 exons. The record is from RefSeq and is a predicted model, not a curated record.
UGAGUGUAAUUUGGUCUUAGUAUCUAUCAACUUUUCCCAGCUCAAAAAACAAUAUAUUUUUCGCCAGGACAGAGCUCAAAAUACAAAGACUGACUUUUCCUUGUCUAAAUUUUACUGAUAUUAGCGUGUGUGUAUUAGCUCUGAUGUGUGUUCUAAAAAAAUAUGUAAUAUUUUCAUGUUGCAGCCAUUUGUGAAUAGUUUAUCUAAAUGCCCAAAACCCACUUAGAGCUCCAGAGAGGUCUUGUUUUCUUGUACUAUGGAUUUAAGGUGAUUCUCAAGAGGAACAAGUCGCCAUGGACCGAUGAGAUCGAGAGACGGCUCCGCGGUUGCGUGGAGUGGCGGCUGAGAGGAGAGGCAACAACAACCCGUUGUCCGUGACGGCCCGAGCAUUUGCGAGAGGGGAUGGAGCGGGGGUUGCAUCGUCACGGCCAGUUGCCAGAGUGGAUGGAGUGGUGGCCGCACGGACGCGCUCCUGGAGGUGCCGGUAUGCACCCUGAUUUUGAGCCUGGGAGGUUCCUUGCUCUGUCCUAUUCUCAAGGGUGUUCAUCUACUUUGGUAUCGUGCUCUGGAGUCAGGACGAUGCACUAAUGCAGGUUUGAUUCUUUACUUUUUCUUUUGUUUUAUUUGUAUGCAUAUCCCUGAAUUUUGUGAGCCGUGAUUUAAAUGUUGUCGUGUGUGCCAUUGUGUCCUAUAUAAUUAUUCUAUUGAAGCACCGCUGCAACCCAGUUUGUUUAUCAAAUUGAUGCAAGAAACAAACUAAUACAUAGAGAGUAUAAAUUUAUUGCAUUAAUCUAUAUAUCCCUGCACCUAGCGAUAGGUAGAGAUGGAUAAAUUUUGUAGCUUUUUGAUCCCGGUUUUUCCUAUUGAAAUUAUGGAUUUGGAAUUUAAUCAUGGAGUGUUUCGAUUGCCUGCUUACGAAAUCACAAUGAGCACAAGUCUGCAACCUUGAAGGAAAACCCGUUGCAACUGAUGACAUAAUAUUACGUCGCAACAAGAAUGUAUAGAGCUGCAGAGCUCUGUGGAUCCUUCUCUUCACAAAAGGUGCUGCCGGUUGAUGGGGGCCUAACCAUGAGUCUAACUGAAAGUGAACGGGAGCGAUGUGCAGAAAAAAAUCUUAGCACAUAGGCUGAAUUUGUAUAGUACUUCGAAUUUAUUAGGCAGUACCCCCUCCAUUUGUAUAUCACUUCCGAAUACAAGUUCAGGUUAUUAGGCAGUACUAUUGAAUUUAAGGAUUGAUACUUGAAGAUUUUAAAAGGUUACUAAAUUUUGUACCAAGUCUACUGUUAUGUAUGGGAAGAACAUGCGCUAAAAUAUUGAUAAUGCAAAUGAAAGUGAUCGUUUGAUUAUUAAAUCAUGCCACUAAUAAGAUAAGUUCUUGUCACUUAUUUCUUCA